UUCGCACCGAAAAUAAUCGGGGCUAAGUAUAUUACCGAAAUUGAGGGCUUCCAAUUUUUUAAAAUCGGGAGCGGUAGGAGAGUAUUCCACUCAGCGUCGAAGCCAAAGAGGUGACUCAUGGUGGAGCGUGUGGAAGUAAGAAUGUUGGCACAAGUAACCGCAAGGUAGGUGAGAUCCCUACCCGCCGAAAGAUCAAGGUUUCCUGGGCAAUGAUUAUCAUCCCAGGGU
RNAcentral lists this self-splicing intron (228 nucleotides) under Candidatus Nomurabacteria bacterium GW2011_GWB1_36_6. It matches the Rfam family "Bacterial large subunit ribosomal RNA", at positions 1158 to 1380 of the family's 2925-position model. The record is from RNAcentral. Lineage: Bacteria; Candidatus Nomuraibacteriota.